AUACGUAGGUGGCAAGCGUUGUCCGGAAUUACUGGGCGUAAAGGAUGCGUAGGCGGCCUCUUAAGUGGGAUGUGAAAUGCCGGGGCUUAACCCCGGAGGUGCAUUCCAUACUGGGAGGCUAGAGUGCAGGAGAGGAAAGCGGAAUUCCCAGUGUAGCGGUGAAAUGCGUAGAGAUUGGGAGGAACACCAGUGGCGAAGGCGGCUUUCUGGACUGUAACUGACGCUGAGGCAUGAAAGUGUGGGGAGCAAACAGGAUUAGAUACCCUGGUAGUCCACACCGUAAACGAUGUGCACUAGGUGCUGGUACGGAUGUAUCAGUGCCGUAGCUAACGUGAUAAGUGCACCGCCUGGGGAGUACGAUCGCAAGGUUGAA
This 373-nucleotide ribosomal RNA is filed under the name uncultured bacterium. RNAcentral's name for it is "bacterial SSU rRNA". It matches the Rfam family "Bacterial small subunit ribosomal RNA", at positions 523 to 898 of the family's 1533-position model. The record is from RNAcentral.